AACGCACGAGACCUGCGGACCUGCGGAAGGAUCAUUAAAGAGUUUAACUACUCAAACCAUUGUGAACCUUACCUCAACCGUUGCUUCGGCGGGCGGGCCCGGGCCAAGCCCGGCGCCCCCCCGGCCCCUCGCGGGCGCCCGCCGGAGGUUAACCGAACCCUUGAAUUGUAUGGCCUCUCUGAGUCUUCUGUACUGAAUAAGUCAAAACUUUCAACAAUGGAUCUCUAGAUCGGAAGAGCA
This 240-nucleotide unclassified non-coding RNA is filed under the name soil metagenome. RNAcentral describes it as "partial contains 5.8S ribosomal RNA, internal transcribed spacer 2, and large subunit ribosomal RNA". The record is from RNAcentral.